GGCACCAUCUCGAGCAGCCAUGAGGCUUAGCAGCAAUAUAUUAUUACUCGCCAUUGUACUUGCCAUGUUACCAUCAGAGAUUUGUACUUCUAGGGUCGUGCCUAUGGAGGAUGGCCUCUUCACCACAGAUUACUCACCAUCAACAUGCUCACGGAUCAUUCGCUUUGGCACAUGUGACAACGAUGAGUGCCGUGACGACUGCAACAUGAAGCUCAACGGCAUUGGCAAGUGUGUUGAUAAGGGUUGCCAAUGCUCAUUUCACUGUGGCACUCCUUCUCCCAUCAAGACAACGUGCAAGUAGCUUAUGUUAAAUUAUAUAAAUGGACCUAGUAUGUAUCUAACAUAAUUUCUCAAUAAUUCUCAGUUGCUCAUUGUAGUGUAAUUUGAGCGUAUUACUCUUGUAUUCUUAAUUUUGGGAGAGGUGGACAUGAUACAAAGUUAUAAGGUGAAAAA
This is a long non-coding RNA of Aegilops tauschii subsp. strangulata, 453 nucleotides long. RefSeq lists it as uncharacterized. NCBI's taxonomy places the organism in Eukaryota, Viridiplantae, Streptophyta, Magnoliopsida, Poales, Poaceae. The record is from RefSeq and is a predicted model, not a curated record.